RNAcentral lists this ribosomal RNA (799 nucleotides) under uncultured bacterium. RNAcentral describes it as "bacterial SSU rRNA". It matches the Rfam family "Bacterial small subunit ribosomal RNA", at positions 1 to 807 of the family's 1533-position model. The record is from RNAcentral.
CAACCGGAAUAGAAACCGUAGUCAAAAUAAAGCUUAACACAUGCAAGUCUAACGAACGACUAUUAACCGAUUUUUAUUCUGGGCGAACAAUAUUGAAGUUAGUGGCGGACGGGUGCGUAACGCGUGGGUAAUCUGCCUUUGUCAAAGGAAUAUCUAUUCGAAUGAAUAGCUAAUACCGUAUAGCAUAUUAAUAGGGCAUCCUAAUAAUAUCAAAAUUGAGGUGGACUAAGAUGAGCCCGCGUCUGAUUAUCUAGUUGGUGAGAUAAAAGCCCACCAAGGCAACGAUCAGUACCCGACCUGAGAGGGUGAACGGCCACAUUGGAACUGAGACAUGGUCCUAACUCCUACGGGAGGCAGCAGUGGGGAAUAUUGCACUAUGGGGGGAACCCUGAUGCAGCAACGCCGCGUGAGUGAAUAAGGCAUUCGUGUCGUAAAACUCUGUAGUAGGGGAAGAAAGAAAUGACAGUACCCUAAAUGAAAGCCCCGGCUAACUACGUGCCAGCAGCCGCGGUAAUACGUAUGGGGCAAGCGUUAUCCGGAAUAACUGGGCGUAAAGGGUGCGCAGGUGGUUUAACAAGUUAGUGGUGAAAGGCAUAUGCUCAACCAAUGUAAGCCAUUUAAAACUGUUUAACUUGAGUGCAGGAGAGGAAAGUGGAAUUUCCUAGUGUAGCGGUGAAAUGCGUAGAUAUUAGGAGGAAUACCAGUGGCGAAGGCGACUUUCUGGACUGCAACUGACACUGAGGCACGAAAGCGUGGGGAGCAAACAGGAUUAGAUACCCUGUUAGUCCACGCCGUAAAC